Long non-coding RNA from Rhinichthys klamathensis goyatoka, 390 nucleotides. RefSeq lists it as uncharacterized. NCBI's taxonomy places the organism in Eukaryota, Metazoa, Chordata, Actinopteri, Cypriniformes, Leuciscidae. The record is from RefSeq and is a predicted model, not a curated record. The transcript has 2 exons.
UUUAGUCGGGACUUUUAUUCUGAAACCGUAGUCAUGGUAACAUGCAGAACAGUGUACAGUCGUCAGUGCAACUGCCGCUAUCUGCUGUGUGUAGGUGAUCUGUGAGAGCUGUCAGCUGUAAAGUUGCUGAUUCCUGUUCGUUCGGGGUGAUUGGUGCAACUGUAAUAUUAUGAUGUUAGUCAUUGCCCUUAAAGUAAGUCAAUUUGAUUAUAUUUAUGUUGAUUUUCAGUUGUGUAACUUGAUCUGAAUAGACUUAAGCGUCUGUGACAUAAGUGCAUGUCCGGACAUGUCCUGUAUAGAUCGUUCUGUGUUAUCCAGAUCGACUAUGUACAUCAUUGAAUAUACAGUUGUGAUCCAUCCAUCUACCUACAAUACACCAAGUUAAUCUGA